This is a non-coding RNA of Sus scrofa (pig), 9686 nucleotides long. The record is from RefSeq and is a predicted model, not a curated record. Lineage: Eukaryota; Metazoa; Chordata; Mammalia; Artiodactyla; Suidae.
GGGAACUCCGUGUUUUUUUUUUUUUUUUGGUUUUUUUUUUUUUUUUUUAGGUACACUUGUUUUAAACACAAUUUUACCAUUACAACAAAAACCCAACUUAAAACAAACACCCAACUUACCAAAUAGUGUGAACUUUUAACUUGUACUCUUUCCAUCAGAUUUUUGUUUGGAAGUUUCCUCCUUUGCCUAUGAAGACAAGCAAAAACCAUCAAUGAGCUCUGUAUUUUCUGGAUUAAGUACAAAAAUCUGGCCAACCAGAAGAGGCUUGUGAGGAGAUGGGCUUUUCAGAAUUAAAAGAGCAAAAGACAGCCAUCAGUGGGGGAAAAUAAGAUGGUCCUUUCGAAGUAUCUCAUUAUCCCAAACACUGAAUUCUUCCCCAUCAAGUGCAUAGACCAUAGUGAUUCUAAAACUUUUACUCUAGACUUUUUUUUUUUGGAAGGCCAGUGUCACUGAAGAAAAAGAUACAUCGUGUUCAGAGAUGGUAUCCAUUCAUUCCACAGUGAUCUACCCUUCUCUCAUAUUCAAGGGCUCACUGGGCAGCUAACCCACUCAGCAUAUUGGAUCACUGUGCUCUCUUUAAUUUUUUUGUUAGUAUGUCCUUUGUAAUAAGUAAUAAGCAGAUAAACAUUUAAUCUGAGAUAAUGGCAUGAGCAACUAAUUAUCAAUCUGGUUUCUUAUAUCCUUUAUGGAUUUUACUGCCGCCCCCCCCCCCGCCGCCCCCCGCUUUGGAGGGCCACACCUAUGGCAUACAGAAGUUCCCAGGCUAAGGGUUGAUUUGGAGCUACAGGUGCCGGCCUACACCACAGCCACAGCAACACAGGAUCUGAGCCACGUCUGUAAGCUACAUCACAGCUCAUGGUGACGCUGGAUCUUUAACCCACUGAGUGAGGCCAGGGAUCCAACCUGCAACCUCAUGGUUCCUAGUUGAAUUCAUUUCCACUGAGCUACUAUGGGAACUCCUAGUUUUCACUUUUUGAGGUAUAAAUCGACACAGUUUCAGCUGUACAGCAUAAUGAUUACAUAUUUACAUACAUUGUGAAAUAACACAAUAAGUCUAGUUAACAUUCACCACCAUAUUUAGAAAAAAAAUUCUUUGUGAUGAGAACUUUUUUUUUUUGUCUUUUUUAGGGUCACACCUGUGGUAUACAGAAGUUCCCAGGCUGGAGGUUGAAUCAGAGCUGCAGCUGCCAGCCUAUGCCACAGCCACACCAAAUCCGAGGCACAUCCUCAACCUAUACCACAGCUCGUGGGGAUGCUGGAUCCUUCACCCACUGCAUAAGACCUGGGAUCGAACCCACAUCCUCAUGGACACUUAAUCAGGUUCUCAACCUGCUGAAGCCACAAUGGGAACUCCCAUGAUGGCCAUUCUAACAAAUGUGAGUGAUGUCUCACUGUGGUUUCAAUUUGUAUUUCCCUGAUUAUUAAUGAUGUUGAGCACCUUUUCAUUUACUUGAUGGCUAUCUGUAUGUCUUUAGAAAAAUGUCUAUCUCGAUUCUCUGCCCAUGUUUUAUUUUUUUGCUAUUGAGUUGUAUUAGUUCUGAAUAUAUUUUGGAUAUCAAGCCAUUAUCAGAUAUCUGAUUUGUAAAAUUCAGUAGGUUCCCUUUUUAUUUUGUUGGUAUUUUCUUUUGCUAUGCAGAGCUUUUUAGUUGUGAUGUAGCCAAACUUGUUUUUGCUUUUGUUACCUUUGCUUUUGGUGUCAAAUCCAUAAAGUCACUGUAAGACAGAUGUCAAAGAGCUUACUGCCUAUGUUUUCUUGUAGGAGUUUUAUAUUUUUCAGGUCUUAUAUUUAAGUCAUUGACCCAUUUUAAGUUAAUUUUGUCUAUGGUUUGAGAUAAGAGAGGUCCAAUUGCCAACAAUAUUUACUGAAGAGACUAUCUUUUCCCCAUGUGUAUUCUUGGCUCCUUUACCAUGAAUUAACUGACCACAUAGCAUGGGUUUAUUUUUUGGCCUCUUUAUUCUUUCUAGUUAUCUAUAUGUCUAUAUGUGUCUGUUUUUAUGCCAGUACCAAACUAUUUUGAUUACUAUAUCUUUGUAAUAUGGUUUGAAAACAGGGAGCAUGAUGCCUCCUGCUUGUUUUCCUCAAGAUUGUUUCGGUUAUUUGGGGUCUUGUGUGGUUCCAUACAAAUUUGAGGAUGGUUUUUUCUAUUUCUAUGAAAAAUGACAUUAAGAUACUGACAGAGAUUGCACUGAAUCUGUAGACUGCUUUGGGUAAUGUGGACAUUUUAACAAUAUUCUUUCAGUCCAUUAGCAUGGAGUAACUUUCCAUUUACUUGUGUCUUCAGUUUCUUUCAUCACUGUCCUAUACUUACCAGUGGAUGAGUCUCAUAGUAGUUAAAUUUAUUCAGAGUGUUUGUGGUGUGUGUGUGUCAUUGUAAAUGGGAUAAUUUUUCUUCCUUAUAGUUUGUUAUUAGUAUACAGAAACCACCUGAUUUUUGUAUACUGAUUUUGUAUCCUGCACUAUUACUGAAUUUCUUUAUUAGUUCUAACAGUUUCUGGUGGAGACUCUAAGGUUUUCUCUACAUAAUAUGUUAUCCACAAAUAGUGACAGUUUUACUUCUUCCUUUCCAGUUUGAAUACUUUUAAAUUCUUCUUGUGAAACUGCUGUGGUUACGACUUCCAAUACUAUGCUGAAUAUAAGCAGUGAGAGUGGGCAUCUGUCUUUUUCCUACUCUUAGAGAAAAGGUUUUCAUCAUUUUACAAUUUAGUAUAAGGACAGCUGUGGGCUGGUCGUGUAUGGCCCUUAUUAUGAUGAGAUAUGUACCCUAUAUAUCCACUUUGUUGAGAGUUUUUAUCAUAAACGGUUUUUGGGUUUUCAGAUCUGUUUCCACCUCUGCUGAGAUAAUCAUAUGAUUUUUAGCCUUCAUUUUGUUAAGGUGGUGUAUCAUCACCCUGACUUGUGGAUAGUGAACCAUCUUUGCAGCCCUGGAAUACAUCCCACUUGAUCAUGGUAUAUGAUCCUUUUAAUGUACUCUUAAAUUCAGUUUUAUAAUAUUUUGUUGAGGAUUUUAUACAUUUUCAUCAGCAAUAUUGCCUGUAAUUUUCUUUUCUUCUAGUCCCCUGGCCUACUUUUGGUAACUGGAUAAUGCUGGUUUUGUAAAACGAGAUUGGAAGUAUUCCCUUCUCUUCUAUUUUUGGAAGAGUUUGAGAGGGAUUGGUAUCAAUUCUUCUUUAAAUAUUUGGUAGAAUUCAGCAGUGAAGCUCUCUGAUCCCAGACUUUAGUUUGUUGGGAGGUUUAUGAUUACCGAUUUAAUCUCUUUACAAAAAGCUGGUCUUUUCAGAUGUUCUGUUUCUUCAUGAUCAAGUCUUGGUUGGUUGUAUGUUUCUUUCUUACAGGUGUCCAAAAUUUGGUGGAUAAUUGUUCACAGCAGUCUCUUAUGAUCUUUUGUUAUUUGUGUGGUAUCAGCUGUAAUGUCUCCUUUUUCAUUUGAUUUUAUUUGAAUCCUUUUUUUUUUUUUUUUUGGUGAGUCUAGCUAAAGGUUUGUGAAUUUUCUUUCUUUAAAAAAACAGAUCUUAGUUUUAUUUCUAUUUUCUAUUAUCUUUUUAUAUAUUUUUUUCAUUUAUUCCUGCUCUGAUCUUUGUUAUUUCUUUUCUUCUACUACCGCUGGGCGUUGUUAUCUUGAGAUGUAAAGUUAGGUUGAAUUCUUCUUGUCUCUUGAGGUCUACUUUUUCUGUAUUCCUGAAGUUUGGGUAAAUUGUAUUGGGUAUAUUGUAUUUCAUUUUCAUUUGUCUCAAGGUGAUUUUUUUCUUUCUUUUUUUUUAAUUCUUCUUUUUACAGCCACACCUUAGGCAUAUGGAAGUUCCUGGGCCGGGGUUGAAUCAGAGCUGUGACUGAGGCCUAUGCCACAGCCAUGGCAACACUGAAUUCGAAUCACAUCUGUGACCUAUGCCACAGCUUGUGGCAAUGCCAGAUCCUUAACCCACUGAGCAAGGCUGGGGAUCAAACCUACAUCCUCACAGAGGCAAUGUAGGGCCUUUAACCCACUGAGCUACAAUAGACUCCUCUCUUUCCAUUUCUUCUUGUAUCCAUUAGUUGUUGAGUAGCAUAUUAUUUAUGAAAUCUACAUAUUUGUGAAUUUUCCAGCUUUCUUCUUAUAAUUCUAGUUUCGUAUCAGUGUAGUCAAAAAGAUGCCUGUAUGAUAUGAGUCUUCUUAAGUUUAUUAAGAGUUGUUUUAUGGAGUAACAUAUGAUAUAUCCUGGAGAAUUUUUCAUGUAUACUUGAGAAAGAUGUAUGGCUUUGGAUCAAAUAUUCUGUAUAUAUCUAUUGAGUGUAAGUGGUAUAAUGUGUCAUUUAAGGCCAAUGUUUCCUUAUUGAUUUUCUGUCUAGAUGAUCUAUCAAUUUUUUUUCGUCACACUGGAGACAUGCAGGAGUUUCCAGGCCAGGGAUCAAACCCAAGCCACAGCAGUGACAAUGCCAGAUCUUUAACCACUAGGCCACCAGAGACCUCCAAGAUGAUCUAUCAAUUGAUGAAAAAGUGGUAUUAAAGUUCCCUGCCCAUUAUUGUAUUUCUACUUUUCCAUUUAUAUCUGUUAGUGUUUGCUUUAUAUAUUUAGGUGCUCCUUUGUAGGGUGCAUAAAUAUUUACAAAUGUUGACUCUUGUGGAUUGACCCCUUCAUCAUUAUUUAAUGUUCUUCUUUGUCUCUUAGUACAGUCUUUGUUUUAAAGACUAUUUUGUUUGAUAUAAAUAUAGCUACCCUAGCUUUCUUUUGGUUUCCAUUUGCAUGGAAUAUUUUUUCUACCUCUUUCACUUUCAGUCUGUUCUUAAAUUUGAAGUGAGUUUCUUGUAGGCAGCAUACAGAUGCACCCUUUUUUAUUCAUUCUACCACUCUAUCUUUUGACAUCAGAGGUUAGUCCAUUUACUUUUAAAGCAUUUAUUAAUAAGUAUGUACUUACUGCCAUUUUGUUCAUUGUUUUCUGGCUGUUCUUUAGUUACUUUGUUACUUCUCUUGCUCUCUUCCAUUGUGAUUUGAUGAUUUUCGAUAGUUGUAUGCUUAGGUUCCUUUCUCUUUCUCUUGUGUGUAUCUACUCUAAGUUUUUACUUUGCGGUUACCAUAAGGCUUACAUAAAACAACUUUUAUUUACUAUAGUCUCCUUUAAGUUGAUAACAACUUAAGUUUGAAUGCAUUCCAAAGCAUUACACUUUUACUCUCCACCCUCAUGUUUUAUGUUUUUGAUGUCCAUUUUAUAACUUUUAAUCUUGUGUAUCCCUUAAUUAUUGCCAUUACAGUUAUUUUUACUAUUUUGCCUUAUAACCUUUAUGUUAGCUUUAUAGGUGAUUAAUUCCACCACCAUUACAACACUAGAUUAUUCCAAAUUGUACUAUAUAUUUACCUUUACCAGUGAGAUUUGUACUUUGCUAAGUUUUCUAAUUACUGCUUAGCACCUUUUUCUACUGAAAGGAGUCGCUAACAUUUCUUGUAAGGCUGGUUUAGUGGUGAUAAGCUCCUUUAGCUUUUGCUUAUUAGGAAAACUUUUUCUUUCCUUCAGUUCUGAAUGACAACUUUUCCAAUAAAAAUACUCUUGGAAGCUUUUUCUUUCAGCAGUUUGAAUUUAUCAUGCCAAUCCCUUCCGGCCUGCAAAGUUUCUGUUGAAAAUCUGCUGAUAGUUUUAUGGAUAUUCUGUUGCAUAUAUAAAGUUGUUUUUUUCAUGCUGCUCUCAAGUUUUUCUCCUUGUUUUUAACUUUUGACAUUUUAAUUGUAAUGUGUCUUUGUUGUGGAUGUCUUUGGGUUCUUCUUUUCUGGAUGCCUCUGGGCUUCCUGGAUAUGGAUGAAGGUUUUAGCCAUUCAACUUCACAUAAGUUCUUCGUUCUUUUCUCUCUUGCUUCUCUUUCUAGGACUCCUAUAAUGCAAAUGUUGGUCUGUGUUAAUCUGUAUGAUAUCUCAUAAAUCCCGUCAGAUAUCUCUUUUUUACCUUUUUGCUGUUUUGAUUGGUGAGUCCCAUUGCUCUGUCUCUGAUUUCACUGAUCCUUUCUUCUGCUUCUAGUGCACUCUAGAACCCUUCUAGUGUAUUUUUUAGUUCAAUUAGUGUAUUCUUCAGCUCUGUGACUUCUACUGUCACUUUCUUGUAUUUUUACUUUUUAUUCUUUCUUGAUGUCCUGUGUUCAUCCAUUCCUCUCCCAAGUUCAGUGAGCAUUAUUAUGACUGUUAUUUUGAACCCUUCAUCAGGUAAAUCCCUUACUGCAUUAAGGUUUUAUCCUGGGGUUUUAAUAAUUUGGAACAUAUUCCUCUGUUUCUUCAUUUUCCUUGACUCUCUGUGUUGGCUUCUGUGUAUCAGAUAGAAUAGCCACCUCUCCCAGUCUUGAAGGGUGGCCUCAUGUAGGAGAUGAAACUUACUGUUUGACUCUGCCAUAGCUCUUGAUUAUCUAACUAUUACAACUGUCCAAGGAACCUAUUUUAUUUUCAGUGGUUCUCAGUAGCUGAGGGUGUGCUAAGAUCUAUUGGUGUCCUGAAGGGAUGAAUCUGAGUACCAGAGUCUCCUACCUAAUUUUGCAGGACUACAAAUGUAAGUCUUGAUGGCUAACAGAGCCAGACCAUCAGGAACCAUUCCCUGGGUGCAAGUUACAAAAAUCGGGCCUCUAGGUGAGUAUAAAGGCUCCUUUCUGGGUGAUGCUGAUGACCCGGAGUGAGGCGGAGAAACAGCUCAAAGACAGUGAGCACCAACUUAUGUUCCCUAAGAGCACACUUGUAGGCCUCUAGAUACGUGCCAAACCUGAAGCUUGCCCCUCAGGCCAAAGCUCCAGGACAAGAAAGUAGGCCUCUUACACAGAAAUACUGAGGAUGUGUUUCAGUCUGCUAUCUGUGUAGUACUCUGUGGAUGGUAGCAGGCUAGGAGCUGUAUCUUUGAAUGCUUUGGGUGGGCAGUUGAGUCUGAGCUCAUGACCUGUUCUGUUUCUCACUUUGAUAUAGCCUUAUGGGUCUUCAUGGACACAAGCUCUAUUGGCUUUCAAAGCUAGUUGUUUUGGGGGCUCAUUUCUCAGGUGGUCUUUAAGGUUGGGGUACUGAUGUGGGGGUCAAUUUUUUGCUCCUUAAGGAGAAGUGGGCUGAUGGUGGGCUGCCAUGUUGGUGGUGGGGUUUAUGGUUAGACUGUGUCCCUGCCUCUCCUACCCUCUUCAAUGCAGGCCUUCUCUCAUUUUCCAGAUGAAUAGGAGUCACUCAGCUAAUUUGUUUUUUCUUUCUUUCUUUCUAGAGGUAAUUUUUCCAUAUGCAGCUGUAGAUCUGGUGUAUCCAUGGGAUGAGUUCUGCUUUCUAGAGCAACAUGAAGAAUUAGAUCCUCCCUGGGAGGAAGGACUACUAGAAUUUAAUUACCUUCUAUGUACCAGGCAUCUUGCUAAUACUGAGCACAGAGGUACUGACACAUCACUGCUGUGUAACGCACACAGCUAAGUGGUGUGACCACAUGCGACAGGUAACCCACAAUGACAGGAGCGCCCAGAGGAAAGGCCCCUGCCUUUGGCCUGGGAAGGGAAAAGUAGACAGAGACGUCUUCUUGGAGCAGCUGAUGCUUGACCUGGACCCUGAAGGUAUUCACUCAGCUUCAAUUUUCUAAUCUGGAAAAUGGAACUGCCUAUCUUGAAUGGCUCUCGGGAAGGCAGAAAUAAUACAUUCUUAUACAAACCCUUUGGGAUCAUAAAGCACAAGCUCCCACAUCAGAUUCUAAGUCCCAAGUUUCCAUCUAUUUCUGCUACUCUAAAACUAAGGAAAUUAAACCAGGAAUCUCCAAAGACUUACAAGAGAUGAAGCGGCUGGGGGACCGGCAAAGUCCUGGGACAAAGCAUCAAGGACGAAGUCUUCACUCAAGGGCUGCAAGAACCAGGACAUGUAUCAACAAACACCCCCUCACCAGCCUCCUCCUUAAAAUGUCCCCACUGUUUCUGUGCUGAUCAACUUAUUAAACAGAAAGCUAGGCCUUUUCUGAAUUAGUCAUCAGGGUGAAAGGAGAAAGAUCCACUCAGAGAAAACUGGCUUGCUCACCAGGACUGGUUCCUUGGGGUCUUUGUGCGGGAGAGUUUUUCCAUCUUUGUCCUAUGCAGGAGGAGAAGAAGAGGGCACAGAGUCACUCUGUGUGUAUCCUAAGCGUGCACCUUGUAAACGUUUUAAGAAAUUGACAGGCUCUACCUGAUGAUGUUGUACAUUGUAAAUUAGAUCCAUCAUUUCAGGAAACAGACUCUCUCACCAGGAAAUAUGCUCUGAUUAGCUCAUGUCAACAAACAGCUGGCACACAUCAGGCAUUCUAAGCACGGGGCUGCGAACCCCAGAGCCCAAAGACUCAUGUAGGCGAAGCAUAUGAGCAGCUAGUGUAGUGUGUGAUGCAUGAGGCUGUGACAAUCUGCAGGACACUGAGGGAGCAAGAGGAUGAACCCCUCACGGGCCUGGGGAAUUGGCUUUGCACAAGUUGCCUGAAAAAAGCUGGUUAACUUGACAGGUAGCACAUCCAACUAGUAUGUACUGACAAUAUGCCAAGCCCUGUCCUAAGCCCCAGGAAUACCAAAAAUGAGACAAAGUUGCUGCCCUCGGGGAGCUCACCCUGGGGGUACGAUGCUUGAAAUGUAUGGCUCAGAUGACGCCAAGCUUCAAAUGACUCUACUUGCCACUUCUGAGUAACAGGACAAAGUAAGGCAUUUGGGGCUCUUUGGUGAAAGAUUUAUAAGUAAGUGGUAAAUCUAAUUUAUCUAUACACAUGAAAAUAAGCAUGAGGUUUUCUUUCUAUAUACACAGUUAACCCUUGGAAAAGGCAGGAUUAGGGGAGCAGACUUCCAGGCAGUUGAACAUCCUUGUAUAAUUUAUACCUGGCCCUCUCUACCUACGGUUCUGCAUCUGUGGAUUCAACCAAAUGCAGGAGGUGUGACGCUGCAGUAUUUAUACUGGAAAAAUAAUCCGAAUUUAAGUGACCUAUGUAAUUCAAACUGUAUUGCUCAAGGAUCAACUGCAUAUUUCUCCUGGUAAACUGGAUGGGGUGGUUUUGGUUUGUUUUGUUCAAAUGCGAGGAGAUGCAAUGGUUGAGCUUAUCACCAGCUGCCCUUUUGACUGACAAACUCCUUUACCCCUUUUCUCAGCUCUGUUAUGGUUCUUGUGAACCUUUUGGCCACUAUUCGGAGGGAAGGAAAACAAACCGGGGGGUUGUUCUCUGCCAACCUUUAGCUGCCAAGGCAGCAAAUUUCCCAAGUGACACCCAGGGCCAGGGGAGGGGGCAUGUUGGCUCCCCACUCACACUGAGCCCGUCCGUUCUGGAGGGGACACCCACGGUCUAUCACAGGGAGCUGCAUCUACCGAAGAGGCCUGAUGGGAACACAGUUAAUGAACAUAAGAGGAUUUAAACGAGGAUCAAGCCAGGACCUGGGAGUGCUGCAGAUCAUUCCUCAGGAAAUAACUGCUCCUCAUUUGGUUUUCCUGUCUGGCUAAAAGUUUCCUAAAUUAAAUUUUUUUUUAAUUUAUGGUAUUGUGAACCAUGUAUUAGACUGGCAAAAAUUAUGUAGCUAAGACAUGAGAUUUCUUUGACCUAAGGGCACGAAAGGCCACUUGAGGAAUUUUUCAGCUUCAUAGCUAGUGUCCCAACAGGAUAUUAGUGGACUAAUACUCUUUGGUGUUUGAAAUUAUUAAGAAACAUGAUCUUUAUAUCCCAGGUCUGUUCCCAUGUCCCUUUGCUUUAUGUACAUGAGAUUCAAUAUGAAUAAAAAUAAAUUAGAAAAAGA